This 617-nucleotide long non-coding RNA is filed under the name Capsella rubella. Its description in RNAcentral is "long non-coding RNA (CRUB_LNC004770)". The record is from RNAcentral. Lineage: Eukaryota; Viridiplantae; Streptophyta; Magnoliopsida; Brassicales; Brassicaceae.
CUGCUGAUGCAAACUACUACUAUCGAAACCCCAGAUACUGCAUAAUGUAUCACAUUGUUGCACCAACAUGAUCAGCCACAAACGAAAGUAUAUAUUCCAAGACACUUAUCAUCUCAUCCAAUGAUCCAAAUCACCAACAACUAUAGCUACCGCACCUAACUAGCAUCCGUAUACAAAUGUGAACUUAACGACUUGAGUUCCUCGACCUCGAGUAACACAACUUUUAUAGACGUAGACUUGAAAUAUGUAUACCGUGGUAAAAAUAUAAAGGCUAUAACAAGCUGUGAAAAUUUAAACAAAUAUGACCAUGAGUUUUUUUGAGUUCAAGUUCUUGAGAGAAGAGUUAAUAGUGGCUUGCCUCUUUACAUGAGAGUGAUCAGUAGUACACAAUGGACAUUACAAAAUCAUCAUGUCUUCCAAUCGUAUCAAUAGUUCCACUCGUAUCAAGGAUUGAAUCAUUGUAUCCAAGAUUCAUAUUCUAAAUAAACAACAAAAAUUCCAUACUGUAAUUGCUCAUAAAUUUAUCAGUCCAAUAUUCAAUGAUAACACAUUAAUCAAACUAAACAAAAAAAAAAACUCAAAAUCCUCGUAAUCUGUAAUGAUCAAUGAUAUCAUUA